Molecule: long non-coding RNA, 434 nt
Organism: Schistocerca cancellata (South American locust)
Lineage: Eukaryota; Metazoa; Arthropoda; Insecta; Orthoptera; Acrididae
Exons: 3
Source: RefSeq, a predicted model, not a curated record
AGAAGUGAAAAUACUAUUUGAAGACACAAGAAGAUGCACAGUUGAAAUUUGUCAAGGAAGCUUAUCUGCAACAUCCAGUUACACAGAGUCAAUAGAAUGGUAUCACAGCCUACACCACCAACCCGUGAUGCCCAGAGCAACAUCCUGGAAUCCAGUAUGGGUUCCGCUGUUCGACCACAACAGGGCAGACUGUCUUGAGUCAUGAGGAAAUUGUCCACUCACUGGAUGCAGUUCUUGGCCAUUGUCAGUUGCACCAACACACUGUCAUCACAAUCGCAGCCAGGUUCCACCGAAGCCAUCACACACUGACCUUGGCGAUCCAGAACCGCACCUAGCUACUGUCAGUGUAGAUGAAAUACAGCAUCUUGCUACUGAACUGCAGUAUUGCCUUAAGGACCAGAAACAUUAUGAGGAGCUCAACUGGCUUGGAUUUC